This 160-nucleotide ribosomal RNA is filed under the name uncultured bacterium. RNAcentral describes it as "partial 16S ribosomal RNA". The record is from RNAcentral.
CACGUAGUUAGCCGGUGCUUCUUCUUACGGUACUGUCAUCCACGCGAAAUAUUCAUCCGCGCGAUUUCGUUCCGUCCGAAAGUGCUUUACAACCCGAAGGCCUUCUUCACACACGCGGCAUGGCUGGAUCAGGCUUGCGCCCAUUGUCCAAAAUUCCCCA